RNAcentral lists this ribosomal RNA (491 nucleotides) under uncultured bacterium. RNAcentral describes it as "partial 16S ribosomal RNA". It matches the Rfam family "Bacterial small subunit ribosomal RNA", at positions 29 to 506 of the family's 1533-position model. The record is from RNAcentral.
AGUGAACGCUGGCGGUAGGCCUAACACAUGCAAGUCGAACGGCAGCACAGUAAGAGCUUGCUCUUACGGGUGGCGAGUGGCGGACGGGUGAUGAAUACAUCGGAAUCUACUUUUUCGUGGGGGCUAACGUAGGGAAACUUACGCUAAUACCGCAUACGACCUACGGGUGAAAGCAGGGGAUCUUCGGACCUUGCGCGAUUGAAUGAGCCGAUGUCGGAUUAGCUAGUUGGCGGGGUAAAGGCCCACCAAGGCGACGAUCCGUAGCUGGUCUGAGAGGAUGAUAAGCCACACUGGAACUGAGACACGGUCCAGACUCCUACGGGAGGCAGCAGUGGGGAAUAUUGGACAAUGGGCGCAAGCCUGAUCCAGCCAUACCGCGUGGGUGAAGAAGGCCUUCGGGUGGUAAAGCCCUUUUGUUGGGAAAGAAAAGCAGCAGGUUAAUACCCCGCUGUUCUGACGGUACCCAAAGAAUAAGCACCGGCUAACUUCGU